This 440-nucleotide ribosomal RNA is filed under the name uncultured bacterium. RNAcentral's name for it is "partial 16S ribosomal RNA". It matches the Rfam family "Bacterial small subunit ribosomal RNA", at positions 338 to 795 of the family's 1533-position model. The record is from RNAcentral.
CCUACGGGUGGCAGCAGUGGGGAAUAUUGCACAAUGGGGGAAACCCUGAUGCAGCGACGCCGCGUGAGCGAUGAAGUAUUUCGGUAUGUAAAGCUCUAUCAGCAGGGAAGAAAAUGACGGUACCUGACUAAGAAGCCCCGGCGAACUACGUGCCAGCAGCCGCGGUAAUACGUAGGGGGCAAGCGUUAUCCGGAUUUACUGGGUGUUAAGGGAGCGUAGGCGGUUCUGCAAGCCAGAUGGGAAAGCGUGGGGCUCAACCCCGGGACUGCAUUUGGAACUGGAAGGCUAGAGUGUCGGAGAGGCAGGCGGAAUGCCUGGUGUAGCGGUGAAAUGCGUAGAUAUUAGGAGGAACACCGGUGGCGAAGGCAGCCUGCUGGACGAUGACUGACGUUGAGGCUCGAAAGCGUGGGGAGCAAACAGGAUUAGAUACCCCUGUAGUC